GCGGCGUGCUACACAUGCAGUCGAGCGGGGAAGAGGAAGGAGCUUGCUCCAUCCAAAUUCCAGCGGCGGACGGGUGAGUAACGCGUGGAUAAUCUGCCUUUGACAGGGGGAUAACGCUGGGAAACCGGCGCUAAUACCGCAUAACGCCGAGAGAUGGCAUCACCGCUCGGCCAAAAGGAGUAACAUCUGGUCAAAGAUGAGUCCGCGUCCGAUUAGCUAGUUGGAGGUGUAAGAGACCCCCAAGGCGACGAUCGGUAGCCGAACUGAGAGGUUGAACGGCCACAUUGGGACUGAGACACGGCCCAGACUCCUACGGGAGGCAGCAGUGGGGAAUAUUGCUCAAUGGACGAAAGUCUGAAGCAGCGACGCCGCGUGAAGGAUGAAGGUUUUCGGAUUGUAAACUUCUUUGAUUGGGGACGAAGGAAGUGACGGUACCCAAAAAACAAGCCACGGCUAACUACGUGCCAGCAGCCGCGGUAAUACGUAGGUGGCGAGCGUUGUCCGGAAUUACUGGGUGUAAAGGGCGUGUAGGCGGGAUUAUAAGUCAGAUGUGAAAUAUCAAGGCUCAACCUUGGGAUUGCAUCUGAAACUAUGAUUCUUGAGUGCUGGAGAGGAAAGCGGAAUUCCUAGUGUAGCGGUGAAAUGCGUAGAUAUUAGGAGGAACACCAGUGGCGAAGGCGGCUUUCUGGACAGUAACUGACGCUGAGGCGCGAAAGCGUGGGGAGCAAACAGGAUUAGAUACCCUGGUAGUCCACGCCGUAAACGAUGGAUACUAGGUGUAGGGGGUAUCGACCCCCUCUGUGCCGGAGUAAACACAAUAAGUAUCCCACCUGGGGAGUACGGCCGCAAGGUUGAAACUCAAAGGAAUUGACGGGGGCCCGCACAAGCAGUGGAGUAUGUGGUUUAAUUCGAAGCAACGCGAAGAACCUUACCAGGGCUUGACAUCCCGUGAAUAGCGUAGAGAUACGCGAAGCCCUUCGGGGCACGGAGACAGGUGGUGCAUGGUUGUCGUCAGCUCGUGUCGUGAGAUGUUGGGUUAAGUCCCGCAACGGGCGCAACCCUUGUUGUCAGUUGCCAUCAUUAAGUUGGGCACUCUGGCAAUACUGCCGGUGACAAAUCGGAGGAAGGUGGGGACGAGGUCAAAUCAUCAUGCCCCUUAUGUCCUGGGCUACACACGUACUACAAUGGCAAUAACAGAGGGAAGCAAGGGAGUAAUCCGGAGCGAAUCCCCAAAGAUUGUCUCAGUUCGGAUUGUGGGCUGAAACCCGCCCACAUGAAGUCGGAAUUGCUAGUAAUGGCAGGUCAGCAUACUGCCGUGAAUACGUUCCCGGGCCUUGUACACACCGCCCGUCACACCAUGAGAGUCUGCAACACCCGAAGUCAGUAGUCUAACCGCCAAGGGGGGCGCUGCCGAAGGUGGGCCCCGAGAAUGG
This 1433-nucleotide ribosomal RNA is filed under the name uncultured bacterium. RNAcentral's name for it is "bacterial SSU rRNA". It matches the Rfam family "Bacterial small subunit ribosomal RNA". The record is from RNAcentral.